Molecule: ribosomal RNA, 523 nt
Filed under: Liotyphlops beui
Lineage: Eukaryota; Metazoa; Chordata; Lepidosauria; Squamata; Anomalepididae
Description: partial 16S ribosomal RNA
Rfam family: Bacterial large subunit ribosomal RNA
Source: RNAcentral
AAACAUAACCUUUAGCAAAACAAGUAUUAAAGGCAGCUCCUGCCCAGUGAGACAUCUUAAACGGCCGCGGUACCCUAACCGUGCAAAGGUAGCAUAAUCACUUGUCUACUAAUUAUAGACUAGUAUGAAAGGAUGAAUGAGGGCCAAACUGUCUCUUGUAGCAAAUUAAUAAAACUGAUCUCUCAGUCCAAAAGCUGAAAUAAACAUAUAAGACGAGAAGACCCCGUGAAGCUUUAGGAACCUGUCAUAAUUAUUUGACACUACCUUUGGUUGGGGCGACCCUGGGAAUAAACAAAACUCCCAAGCACAUGGAAAUUUUAAUCCACAAAAGGCCAACAAGCCAUCAUACGACCCAGUACACCUGAUAAUCGAAACAAGUUACUCCGGGGAUAACAGCGCCAUCUUCUUUAAGAGCCCAUAUCAAAAAGAAGGCUUACGACCUCGAUGUUGGAUCAGGACACCCAAAUGGCGCAGUCGCUAUUAAAGGUUCGUUUGUUCAACGAUUAACAGUCCUACGUGAUCU